UACGUAGGCAGCGAGCGUUGUUCGGAAUUACUGGGCGUAAAGCGCGCGUAGGCGGCUUUGCAAGUCGGGUGUGAAAUCCCCAGGCUUAACCUGGGAACUGCAUUCGAGACUGCAUUGCUAGAGUAUGGGAGAGGGAAGUGGAAUUUCAGGUGUAGCGGUGAAAUGCGUAGAUAUCUGAAGGAACAUCAGUGGCGAAAGCGACUUCCUGGACCAAUACUGACGCUCAUGUGCGAAAGCGUGGGGAGCAAACAGG
This 253-nucleotide ribosomal RNA is filed under the name uncultured bacterium. Its description in RNAcentral is "partial 16S ribosomal RNA". It matches the Rfam family "Bacterial small subunit ribosomal RNA", at positions 524 to 776 of the family's 1533-position model. The record is from RNAcentral.